This 96-nucleotide small nuclear RNA is filed under the name Marmota marmota marmota (Alpine marmot). Lineage: Eukaryota; Metazoa; Chordata; Mammalia; Rodentia; Sciuridae. RNAcentral also lists the same sequence under 1 other name. The record is from RNAcentral.
GUGCUUACUUCAGCAGCACAUAGAUUAAAACUGAAAUGAUACAGAGAAGACUAGCACAAGGAUGAUAUACAAAUUCAUGAAGUGUUCCAUAUUUUU